This 387-nucleotide ribosomal RNA is filed under the name uncultured bacterium. RNAcentral describes it as "bacterial SSU rRNA". It matches the Rfam family "Bacterial small subunit ribosomal RNA", at positions 30 to 416 of the family's 1533-position model. The record is from RNAcentral.
AUUGAACGCUGGCGGAAUGCUUUACACAUGCAAGUCGAACGGCAGCACGAGGGCAACCUUGGUGGCGAGUGGCGAACGGGUGAGUAAUACAUCGGAACGUGCCCAGUCGUGGGGGAUAACGUAGCGAAAGCUACGCUAAUACCGCAUACGAUCUAUGGAUGAAAGCGGGGGACCGUAAGGCCUCGCGCGAUUGGAGCGGCCGAUGGCAGAUUAGGUAGUUGGUGGGGGUAAAGGCUCACCAAGCCUGCGAUCUGUAGCUGGUCUGAGAGGACGACCAGCCACACUGGAACUGAGACACGGUCCAGACUCCUACGGGAGGCAGCAGUGGGGAAUUUUGGACAAUGGGCGCAAGCCUGAUCCAGCCAUUCCGCGUGCAGGAUGAAGGCC